GACGAACGCUGGCGGCGUGCCUAAUACAUGCAAGUUGAGCGCUGAAGGUUGGUACUUGUACCAACUGGAUGAGCAGCGAACGGGUGAGUAACGCGUGGGGAAUCUGCCUUUGAGCGGGGGACAACAUUUGGAAACGAAUGCUAAUACCGCAUAAAAACUUUAAACACAAGUUUUAAGUUUGAAAGAUGCAAUUGCAUCACUCAAAGAUGAUCCCGCGUUGUAUUAGCUAGUUGGUGAGGUAAAGGCUCACCAAGGCGAUGAUACAUAGCCGACCUGAGAGGGUGAUCGGCCACAUUGGGACUGAGACACGGCCCAAACUCCUACGGGAGGCAGCAGGAGGGAAUCUUCGGCAAUGGACGAAAGGCUGACCGAGCAACGCCGCGUGAGUGAAGAAGGUUUUCGGAUCGUAAAACUCUGUUGGUAGAGAAGAACGUUGGUGAGAGUGGAAAGCUCAUCAAGUGACGGUAACUACCCAGAAAGGGACGGCUAACUACGUG
RNAcentral lists this ribosomal RNA (497 nucleotides) under uncultured bacterium. Its description in RNAcentral is "partial 16S ribosomal RNA". It matches the Rfam family "Bacterial small subunit ribosomal RNA", at positions 28 to 507 of the family's 1533-position model. The record is from RNAcentral.